GAGUGAGUGGCGGACGGGUGAGUAACACGUGGGUAACCUGCCCUAAAGUGGGGGAUAACAUUUGGAAACAGAUGCUAAUACCGCAUAAAACCUAGCACCGCAUGGUGCAAGGUUGAAAGAUGGUUUCGGCUAUCACUUUAGGAUGGACCCGCGGUGCAUUAGUUAGUUGGUGAGGUAAAGGCUCACCAAGACCGUGAUGCAUAGCCGACCUGAGAGGGUAAUCGGCCACACUGGGACUGAGACACGGCCCAGACUCCUACGGGAGGCAGCAGUAGGGAAUCUUCCACAAUGGACGAAAGUCUGAUGGAGCAACGCCGCGUGAGUGAAGAAGGUUUUCGGAUCGUAAAACUCUGUUGUUGGAGAAGAACGUAUUUGAUAGUAACUGAUCAGGUAGUGACGGUAUCCAACCAGAAAGCCACGGCUAACUACGUGCCAGCAGCCGCGGUAAUACGUAGGUGGCAAGCGUUGUCCGGAUUUAUUGGGCGUAAAGCGAGCGCAGGCGGUUUCUUAAGUCUGAUGUGAAAGCCUUCGGCUCAACCGAAGAAGUGCAUCGGAAACUGGGAAACUUGAGUGCAGAAGAGGACAGUGGAACUCCAUGUGUAGCGGUGAAAUGCGUAGAUAUAUGGAAGAACACCAGUGGCGAAGGCGGCUGUCUGGUCUGUAACUGACGCUGAGGCUCGAAAGCAUGGGUAGCAAACAGGAUUAGAUACCCUGGUAGUCCAUGCCGUAAACGAUGAGUGCUAGGUGUUGGAGGGUUUCCGCCCUUCAGUGCCGCAGCUAACGCAUUAAGCACUCCGCCUGGGGAGUACGACCGCAAGGUUGAAACUCAAAGGAAUUGACGGGGGCCCGCACAAGCGGUGGAGCAUGUGGUUUAAUUCGAAGCAACGCGAAGAACCUUACCAGGUCUUGACAUCCUUUGACCACUCUAGAGAUAGAGCUUUCCCUUCGGGGACAAAGUGACAGGUGGUGCAUGGUUGUCGUCAGCUCGUGUCGUGAGAUGUUGGGUUAAGUCCCGCAACGAGCGCAACCCUUAUUACUAGUUGCCAGCAUUUAGUUGGGCACUCUAGUGAGACUGCCGGUGACAAACCGGAGGAAGGUGGGGACGACGUCAAAUCAUCAUGCCCCUUAUGACCUGGGCUACACACGUGCUACAAUGGAUGGUACAACGAGUCGCGAGACCGCGAGGUUUAGCUAAUCUCUUAAAACCAUUCUCAGUUCGGAUUGUAGGCUGCAACUCGCCUACAUGAAGCCGGAAUCGCUAGUAAUCGCGGAUCAGCAUGCCGCGGUGAAUACGUUCCCGGGCCUUGUACACACCGCCCGUCACACCAUGAGAGUUUGUAACACCCAAAGCCGGUGAGGUAACCU
RNAcentral lists this ribosomal RNA (1365 nucleotides) under Latilactobacillus curvatus. RNAcentral describes it as "bacterial SSU rRNA". It matches the Rfam family "Bacterial small subunit ribosomal RNA", at positions 89 to 1441 of the family's 1533-position model. Lineage: Bacteria; Bacillati; Bacillota; Bacilli; Lactobacillales; Lactobacillaceae. The record is from RNAcentral.